Long non-coding RNA from Homo sapiens (human), 450 nucleotides. Ensembl annotates it as long intergenic non-protein coding RNA 1016. The record is from Ensembl. NCBI's taxonomy places the organism in Eukaryota, Metazoa, Chordata, Mammalia, Primates, Hominidae.
AGGAACGGCCCCACUCCACCAGCCGGCCCCGCGGGACGGUUACUCUGUUCCUGAGGUACCCCCCGAGACCGUCUUGGACUACCAGCCUGUCCGCCACCCCUCGGGGCCCUCCCUCCUACUCUGCCCUUGCCCGCUGAGGUCCCAAGCUGAGGAGAUGAGCCGAGCAGUAAAAAGAGAGGAGGUUUGGAAAAGCAAUGUCCUCUCAGUCUUUAAUAGGUGGCCCCCCUGGGAACCUGCUGGAAGUGGAAGUUAAUAAGCUGAAGGUGGUCACAACCAAUCUCUGCCACACUCGCACCCUACCCCACCCCAAAUCAUUCCUUUUAAUUAAUAGUGGAAGACCUUUUUAAAAAUGUAACAUGAAUUGGCUAUUUCUUGAGGCAAACAAAAGGUGGCUCUGAAGCGAUAUAUUUGUACUCGUAUAAAUUCAUUAAAAUAGAAAGCUUAUAACCA